RNAcentral lists this ribosomal RNA (403 nucleotides) under bacterium. RNAcentral's name for it is "partial 16S ribosomal RNA". It matches the Rfam family "Bacterial small subunit ribosomal RNA", at positions 355 to 776 of the family's 1533-position model. The record is from RNAcentral.
UGGGGAAUAUUGCACAAUGGAGGGAACUCUGAUGCAGCGACGCCGCGUGAACGAAGAAGGCUUUCGAGUCGUAAAGUUCUUUUAUAUGGGAAGAUAAUGACGGUACCAUAAGAAAAAGCCCCGGCUAACUACGUGCCAGCAGCCGCGGUAAUACGUAGGGGGCUAGCGUUAUCCGGAAUCACUGGGCGUAAAGGGUUCGCAGGCGGAAAUGCAAGUCAGGUGUAAAAGGCAGUAGCUUAACUACUGUAAGCAUUUGAAACUGCAUAUCUUGAGAAGAGUAGAGGUAAGUGGAAUUUUUAGUGUAGCGGUGAAAUGCGUAGAUAUUAAAAAGAAUACCGGUGGCGAAGGCGACUUACUGGGCUCAUUCUGUCGCUGAGGAACGAAAGCGUGGGUAGCAAACAGG